CCCCAUUCCCAGGGGCUUCCUCCCUACUCCCAGCCUGCAGCUGCUCUUCGAGUGGCCCCUCCCUCUUCCUCCUCAUCCUCUUCUUCCUCUAGUCCUCUGUCUUCCCCUGCAGGCUCUAAGUUCUCUCUCUCCUAUGAAGGCUUCUCUCUGCUUCCUGGAAGCCUCUAUUAUUGGCAGCUGCCCCAAGCCUUCCUGGGGAACAAGGUAAUGAGGAGUUGGGAUUAUGACAAAUCAGUAGACUGAGGCCCAUAGCAGGGAAGGAACUUCCUUGAGGCCUCAUGUACAGGUCCUCCUGCAACCAAGUACUAAGUAGUCACUGUGUGCUGUGCUGUGUACAGGCAGAAGAGCAGUGUCCCGGAGCUCACUGUGGGUCCUGUUCUCACAGUCAUUGUUGACGUUCUUGCGUUCAGCAUUGGCCUUAGCAUUAAUACUGUGUCGAUACUGCUUCCUGUCUUGUUCCUCAAAUGACACAGAGC
RNAcentral lists this long non-coding RNA (476 nucleotides) under Heterocephalus glaber (naked mole-rat). Its description in RNAcentral is "lncRNA (ENSHGLG00100035090.1)". The record is from RNAcentral. Lineage: Eukaryota; Metazoa; Chordata; Mammalia; Rodentia; Bathyergidae.